GGGGUAUUAGCUCAGCAGGUUCAGAGCGCUACCUUGACAGGGUAGAAGUCGGUGGUUCGAAUCCACCAUAUCCCA
This 75-nucleotide transfer RNA is filed under the name Bacteroidota bacterium. RNAcentral's name for it is "tRNA-Val". It matches the Rfam family "tRNA". Rfam says of the family: Transfer RNA (tRNA) molecules are approximately 80 nucleotides in length. Their secondary structure includes four short double-helical elements and three loops (D, anti-codon, and T loops). The record is from RNAcentral. RNAcentral also lists the same sequence under 1 other name. Lineage: Bacteria; Pseudomonadati; Bacteroidota.